Molecule: ribosomal RNA, 253 nt
Filed under: uncultured bacterium
Lineage: Bacteria
Description: partial 16S ribosomal RNA
Rfam family: Bacterial small subunit ribosomal RNA
Source: RNAcentral
UACAGAGGUCUCAACCGUUGUUCGGAUUCAUUGGGCGUAAAGGGUGCGUAGGCGGUCGCGUAAGUCAGGUGUGAAAUCUCAGGGCUCAACCCUGAAACUGCACUUGAUAGUGCGUGGCUCGGGUACUGGAGAGGAGACUGGAAUUUACGGUGUAGCAGUGAAAUGCGUAGAUAUCGUAAGGAAGACCAGUGGCGAAGGCGAGUCUCUGGACAGUUACCGACGCUGAGGCACGAAGGUCAGGGGAGCAAACGGG